Molecule: long non-coding RNA, 223 nt
Organism: Argentina anserina (silverweed cinquefoil)
Lineage: Eukaryota; Viridiplantae; Streptophyta; Magnoliopsida; Rosales; Rosaceae
Exons: 3
Source: RefSeq, a predicted model, not a curated record
CAUUGGUUCAGUGGGUGAGGACAUCGAACAAGUAGUGACAUCCAAAUAUCCCAGGUCAACAGGAUCGUAUGCAAGCGAAACUAGCAAAGAGGAACAUAAAAUUGUUCUGAAGACUAGGUGCAACCCUGUCGAGUUUUGCGACGUGGUGUCUACUCUACCUCAAGACAAGAUAGAGGUUGUGUAUGAUAUUGGAAUGGGACACUUGCAUGAACUGAGAGUGGAU